UAAAAUCAAAUUUGGCAGAGCUUACAAGGGCAGCGAACGUGGAGCCACUUGACUCUGGAGAAAGGCAGCGACAGUGCGCAGCUCUGAAGCUCUCCAGUUGCUACCUGAAAGGUUGGAAGUGUUUCCUUCCUUCUGAAUGCGUGUGAAAAUAUACGUGUGACCCUACCUACGUGUUCAAUGGUCUCUCAUGUUCCGUGCAGAGAUUUUCCUGCCUCUCUGGGAGGAACACACAGGAGAGUUUGCAGUGCAGUUUGUGUUCACUGGGCUUCAGGUUUCUAAAAGAGAGCUAAGAAGGCAGGUGAUGUGGGAUGGGCAGGGCCAUUGCUGCCCCAAAGUGUUCAGAUGUGUUGUGACCUCCGGAAGGGGAAUUUUUAGAGCAACUGAAGUUAGAAAUCUGGGAUCAGUUUGGAUGUUUGAAAGUCACAGCAACAACCAUUUGUAAGAGCGUAUCAUGCUCAGUAGUAAGACUGCAUAAGGGCACAGGAUGAAGCAUCUGAUUUUUUUUUUUCCCUUUUGGCAUUCUGUUUGCGACAAUUACAUGGCUCUCUAUUAACUGUGCGUGGAAGAAAGCAGUGUUAUGAAAUGAGGAGAGAUUUCCUUCAUCUGUUACUCUGUAGGUAAUUUUUGUGCUUUUUCCAGUAUUUAAGUACCUCUUAACUGCUUGCUG
RNAcentral lists this long non-coding RNA (667 nucleotides) under Gallus gallus (chicken). The record is from RNAcentral. Lineage: Eukaryota; Metazoa; Chordata; Aves; Galliformes; Phasianidae.